GCCGGGAUAGCUCAGCUGGGAGAGCAACAGACUGAAGCGAAUUGUGGCGUUCUGGAGGUCGCGUGUUCAAUCCACGCUCCUGGCA
Trametes coccinea BRFM310 is the source of this 85-nucleotide non-coding RNA. The record is from the annotation of a GenBank genome assembly. Lineage: Eukaryota; Fungi; Basidiomycota; Agaricomycetes; Polyporales; Polyporaceae.